GCGGUCGUGGCGGAAUUGGUAGACGCGCAGCGUUGAGGUCGCUGUGGCCGAAAGGUCGUGGAAGUUCGAGUCUUCUCGACCGCACCA
RNAcentral lists this transfer RNA (87 nucleotides) under Haematospirillum sp. 15-248. Its description in RNAcentral is "tRNA-Leu". It matches the Rfam family "tRNA". Rfam says of the family: Transfer RNA (tRNA) molecules are approximately 80 nucleotides in length. Their secondary structure includes four short double-helical elements and three loops (D, anti-codon, and T loops). Lineage: Bacteria; Pseudomonadati; Pseudomonadota; Alphaproteobacteria; Rhodospirillales; Novispirillaceae. RNAcentral also lists the same sequence under 2 other names. The record is from RNAcentral.